Cicer arietinum (chickpea) is the source of this 3203-nucleotide non-coding RNA. The record is from RefSeq and is a predicted model, not a curated record. NCBI's taxonomy places the organism in Eukaryota, Viridiplantae, Streptophyta, Magnoliopsida, Fabales, Fabaceae.
CCAUCGGCGCCGUUAUCUAAUUAAAAAGUAUCCCACCUGUGAGGAUUAUCCUAAAUAAUCGCUUCGCACUAUUGAUCGCUCAGAAAAUAACAACGAAAACGAUAGAAAAAGAAAAAAAAAAGAAAGAAAGAAGAGAAUAUCCCACUACCAUUCAUUACUCACUCCUUCUCGCUUACGCACACGGAAUCUACCCUCGUUUUCCUUUUUCUUCUUUCUUUCUCACUCUCACUCAGAAUAUCUCUCACAUUGUCAUUUUCUGUUUUUUUCUUUCUUUCUUUCGGAACUUCGUAAUUACGCACAGUUUCUAUGCUUCACUGUGUUGAUGCUGGAUUUCUACUCACUACAUAAACCCUAACAACCUCAAUUGCUUAUCACUUGCAAGUUCGAUCUCUCUCUCUCUCUCUCUCUCUCUUUCAAUUUUCUCAAUUUUGCUAUAUUUUGCAGGUUUUUCAUACGCAAUGGCGCGAGGGGUUCCCUUCGCCAAGAACGGAAGCAAAGUAUUUCGUUUCCCUGUUUUGUAUUUCGUUCUUCUCUGUGUUCUUGCACCUGGUUUUUUCUUCCUCGGUUCGGGGUUUCACGCUGCGGAUCAAGAAGAUAUUACAGCUGUUCCAAAUACACAGCAGGUUGCCAAAUGGAGAGAAUGGCAUACAUUGAAAGACCUUAAAUCACUUUUUUCUAAAGAGGUUUUUGAUGUUAUUGUAACCAGCACAGAUGAUUUGGGGCCUUUGAGUCUUGACAAUUUCAGAAAAAAUAUGUCUGCAUCAUGGAAAGUUGUUGGAUUAGAGACUUCAAAUGUUGCUUAUGAGCUAAAGCAACCAACAACACAUGUUAGACAAGAAAAACCAAAGGGGAAAGAAGGAAGAUCUUCAGAGGGUCUUGCUCAGUGGACUGAUAGCCCUUCACGGCAAGUCCGAAGGAAAUUAAUAGAAAAAAGGAGGGAAAAGCGUGCUGCUGAGUUGGUAAAGAUGGAUAAUGAAGUAGUUGUAAAACUUGAAAAUGUUGCUAUUGAACGCUCAAGAUCUGUUGAGUCAGCCGUACUGGGUAAAUACAACAUUUGGAGGAAAGAAAUUGAGAAUGAAAAUGCUGAUUCUUCUGUUCGGUUUAUGCGGGACCAGAUCAUUAUGGCUAGGGUAUAUGUGAGUAUUGCAAAGAUGAAGAACAAGCUUGAGCUUUACCAAGAUCUGCAAUCUCGGCUGAAAGAGAGUCAACGUGCUCUAGGUGAUGCACUUGCUGAUUCGGAUCUACAUCGAAGUACACAUGAAAAAAUAAAGGCUAUGGGCCAAGUUCUGUCAAAAGCACGAGCGCAGUUGUAUGAUUGCAAGUUGGUGACUGGAAAAUUGAGAGCAAUGCUACAAACAGCUGACGAGCAAGUUAGGAGCUUGAAGAAACAAAGCACAUUCCUCAGUCAGUUGGCUGCCAAGACCAUACCAAAUGGAAUUCAUUGCUUAUCGAUGCGCCUUACAAUAGAUUACUACCUCCUUCCUCCUGAAAAGAGAAAAUUCCCUAUGAGCGAGAACUUGGAGAAUCCUAGUCUUUAUCAUUAUGCACUAUUUUCAGACAAUGUCUUGGCUGCAUCUGUUGUUGUGAACUCAACUGUUAAGAAUGCAAAGGAUCCUUCAAAGCAUGUUUUCCACCUUGUUACUGAUAAACUAAAUUUUGGAGCCAUGACCAUGUGGUUUAUUUUGAACCCUCCUGGAAAAGCUACAAUCCAUGUUGAAAAUGUUGAUGAUUUUAAGUGGUUGAACUCAUCCUACUGCCCUGUACUGCGGCAGCUGGAAUCAGCAAAAAUGAAAGACUAUUAUUUCAAGGCAGGCCAUCCAACCACACUUACUUCUGGUGCUUCCAAUCUGAAAUAUAGAAACCCAAAAUAUCUCUCGAUGCUCAACCAUCUGAGAUUCUACCUUCCAGAAGUUUAUCCAAAAUUAGAUAAAAUCCUUUUUCUUGAUGACGACAUCGUUGUUCAGAAAGAUUUAACUGGACUAUGGGCAGUUGAUCUUCAGGGUAAAGUAAACGGGGCAGUUGAAACAUGUGGCGAGAGCUUUCACCGAUUUGACAAAUAUCUUAACUUUUCAAAUCCACAUAUUGCAAGAAAUUUUGAUCCAAAUGCUUGUGGUUGGGCAUAUGGGAUGAACAUAUUUGAUCUCAAGGAGUGGAAAAAGAAGGAUAUCACUGGCAUAUAUCACAAGUGGCAGAAUAUGAAUGAAGAAAGGGUGCUGUGGAAGCUGGGGACACUACCUCCAGGGCUAAUGACAUUCUAUGGGAUGACACAUCCACUAAAUAAAUCAUGGCAUGUCCUUGGUUUGGGUUAUAGCCCAACCGUAGAUCGAUCACUGAUAGAGAACGCAGCAGUUGUACACUACAAUGGUAAUAUGAAGCCGUGGCUAGAGAUUGCCAUGACAAAGUAUCGGCCUUACUGGACUAAAUAUGUCCAAUACAAUAAUCCUUAUCUACGAAACUGAUCAAGUUGCUCGAGGUUGAUAGUCUCCAAGAGAUGGCUUUGCAUGAUACGAUGGUGAGAUGAAGACGGUGAUGUCACUAACAUCAAUCUAACGAAGGAGGAAUUCAAAAACUGGUGUGAACUGUGGAAGCACACCUAUUUGAUAGUUCAAAGGCAAUGGAGUCAAUACCAUAUCAAUUGAUAAUCUUUUUUUAUAGUACUUCAUGGUUUGGUCGCAGAGCUAAGUUGUGGGACUCCCUUCAUCAAUUGGCUAAGACAUUUAUUGCCAUUGGUUUGUGAUGGAUGAUUUCAAUGCUUUUUUCGUUGAUCAUGAAAGAUGUGAUGUUGGUUCCCCCCAUAUGUGUAGAGCAUAUGAUUAGUGACCAUGACCUGAUUGAUAUUGGCUUCCAAGGUGGUCCUUUUGCUUGGUAGUGUGGUAGACUGUAGGAGAGACUUGAUAGGAUGCUUAUCAAUUUUCAAUGCUCCUCCGAUGUAAAACCGAAGAGAGAUUGUACAUAUCAAAUUCUGGCCGUCGUGAACAACGGUUUGUGUAGAUGUCGGUUGGACGUGGUGGCAGGUUGAACGGUUGGUUAGUUCGGUUUGUAUCUUCGUUAUUCACAAGGUCAGUAGAAUUGGAUUUUUCCCAAAGUUUGCUCAAGGGAAGGUUAGUUUCUUUUAUGCAGUGAGGACCAGAGGAGCAAAAACAGACGUUGAUCAUUCUCGAGUUCGACCUCCUACACAAUCAAAUAGGAGAGCUGCAAUUGAA